RNAcentral lists this non-coding RNA (156 nucleotides) under Ipomoea nil (Japanese morning glory). Its description in RNAcentral is "Eukaryotic large subunit ribosomal RNA". It matches the Rfam family "Eukaryotic large subunit ribosomal RNA", at positions 3247 to 3401 of the family's 3401-position model. The record is from Rfam by way of RNAcentral. Lineage: Eukaryota; Viridiplantae; Streptophyta; Magnoliopsida; Solanales; Convolvulaceae.
GGAAGGGUCACGGUGGCCGCCUGAAUUACAAUUCCGAUCGAGCGGCGAGCUGAAUCCUUUGCAGACGACUUAAAUACGCGACGGGGUAUUGUAAGGGGUAGAGUGGCCUUGCUGCCACGAUCCUCUGAGAUUCAGCCCUUUGUCGCUCCGAUUCGU